AGUGAACGCUGGCGGUAGGCCUAACACAUGCAAGUCGAACGGCAGCACAGUAGGAGCUUGCUCUUACGGGUGGCGAGUGGCGGACGGGUGAGGAAUACAUCGGAAUCUACUUUUUCGUGGGGGAUAACGUAGGGAAACUUACGCUAAUACCGCAUACGACCUACGGGUGAAAGCAGGGGAUCUUCGGACCUUGCGCGAUUGAAUGGGCCGAUGUCGGAUUAGCUAGUUGGCGGGGUAAAGGCCCACCAAGGCGACGAUCCGUAGCUGGUCUGAGAGGAUGAUCAGGCACACUGGAACUGAGACACGGUCCAGACUCCUACGGGAGGCAGCAGUGGGGAAUAUUGGACAAUGGGCGCAAGCCUGAUCCAGCCAUACCGCGUGGGUGAAGAAGGCCUUCGGGUUGUAAAGCCCUUUUGUUGGGAAAGAAAAGCAGCAGGUUAAUACCCCGCUGUUCUGACGGUACCCAAAGAAUAAGCACCGGCUAACUUCGUG
This 492-nucleotide ribosomal RNA is filed under the name uncultured bacterium. Its description in RNAcentral is "partial 16S ribosomal RNA". It matches the Rfam family "Bacterial small subunit ribosomal RNA", at positions 29 to 507 of the family's 1533-position model. The record is from RNAcentral.